This 460-nucleotide ribosomal RNA is filed under the name uncultured bacterium. RNAcentral's name for it is "partial 16S ribosomal RNA". It matches the Rfam family "Bacterial small subunit ribosomal RNA", at positions 338 to 795 of the family's 1533-position model. The record is from RNAcentral.
CCUACGGGAGGCUGCAGUGAGGAAUAUUGGUCAAUGGGCGCGAGCCUGAACCAGCCAAGUAGCGUGAAGGAUGACUGCCCUACGGGUCGUAAACCUCUUUUGCCGGGGAGCAAGGGCGGGGACGUGUCCCGGCCCGGAGAGUACUCGGAGAAAAAGCAUCGGCAUACUCCGUGCCAGCAGCCGCGGUAAUACGGAGGAUGCGAGCGUUAUCCGGAUUGAUUGGGUUUAAAGGGUGCGUAGGCGGGCUUUUAAGUCAGCGGUAAAAAUUCGGGGCUCAACCCCGUCCGGCCGUUGAAACUGGGGGCCUUGAGUGGGCGAGAAGAAGGCGGAAUGCGUGGUGUAGCGGUGAAAUGCAUAGAUAUCACGCAGAACCCCGAUUGCGAAGGCAGCCUUCCGGCGCCCUACUGACGCUGAGGCACGAAAGUGCGGGGAUCGAACAGGAUUAGAUACCCGUGUAGUC